UAUUUCAUAGCAGGUGGGUUAUCCUUUGAUCUACAUUCUCCCACGGUUUGACGUGGUCUUUACGGGACAUCCUGUAUAUACCUAAGAUGUUUUUCGACAUCUUAUUAUAUAUAUAAUAAUCAAUUCAAUUGAACUGAAGUUUCAGGAAGAAUGCAGUGAAGAUAUACCUGAUGGUUAUUUGUUCACUUAAUUGAAUAUAUUGUACAGAAUAUGAAUGUUUGGAGAUCCAAUCGUGAGAUUGCACAUAACAUUGCUUUUUUAUCAAGUGACUUUCAAUCCGAUGAUGGAUGGAAUCAAUUUUUGAAAGACAAAAUGGCCCAGAAUUUUUAAAUGGCAGCAGAUCAUAACAUGAAUAUUCGGACGAGGAAACUAACUAGCAAUAUCAAAUAGACAUUUUAAUAUUAAAGCAAUUUAUUCAUAUUAUAAAUUGCAACUCUUCAAGGAAAAUAAAGGAAACAGCCAGAUGAUCAA
Molecule: long non-coding RNA, 471 nt
Organism: Harmonia axyridis
Lineage: Eukaryota; Metazoa; Arthropoda; Insecta; Coleoptera; Coccinellidae
Exons: 2
Source: RefSeq, a predicted model, not a curated record